This 253-nucleotide ribosomal RNA is filed under the name uncultured bacterium. Its description in RNAcentral is "partial 16S ribosomal RNA". It matches the Rfam family "Bacterial small subunit ribosomal RNA", at positions 524 to 776 of the family's 1533-position model. The record is from RNAcentral.
UACGAGGGGGGCUAGUGUUGUUCGGAAUCACUGGGCGUAAAGGGAGCGUAGGCGGGGGCCUAAGUUGGGUGUUUAAUUCCGGGGCCCAACCCCGGGCGUGCACUCAAAACUGGGUUUCUUGAAUAGGGGAGAGGUCGGUGGAAUUGGAGGUGUAGCGGUGGAAUGCGUAGAGAUCUCCAAGAACACCCGUUGCGAAGGCGGCCGACUGGACCCAUAUUGACGCUGAGGCUCGAAAGCAUGGGGAGCAAACAGG